UGCGUAGGCGGCUUUUUAAGUUUGUUGUGAAAUCUCCCGGCUCAACCGGGAGGGUGCGGCGAAUACUGAGAAGCUAGAGUGUGGGAGAGGAAAGUGGAAUUCCUGGUGUAGCGGUGAAAUGCGUAGAUAUCAGGAGGAACACCGGUGGUGUAAACGGCUUUCUGGACCAUAACUGACGCUGAGGCACGAAAGCGUGGGUAGCAAACA
Molecule: ribosomal RNA, 207 nt
Filed under: uncultured bacterium
Lineage: Bacteria
Description: partial 16S ribosomal RNA
Rfam family: Bacterial small subunit ribosomal RNA
Source: RNAcentral